RNAcentral lists this transfer RNA (88 nucleotides) under Clostridia bacterium. Its description in RNAcentral is "tRNA-Ser". It matches the Rfam family "tRNA". Rfam says of the family: Transfer RNA (tRNA) molecules are approximately 80 nucleotides in length. Their secondary structure includes four short double-helical elements and three loops (D, anti-codon, and T loops). The record is from RNAcentral. Lineage: Bacteria; Bacillati; Bacillota; Clostridia.
GCAGAGAUGGUAGAGUGGUCGAUUGCGGCGGUCUUGAAAACCGUUGAAACGAAAGUUUCCGGGGGUUCAAAUCCCUCUCUCUGCGCCA